Mycena latifolia is the source of this 96-nucleotide non-coding RNA. NCBI's taxonomy places the organism in Eukaryota, Fungi, Basidiomycota, Agaricomycetes, Agaricales, Mycenaceae. The record is from the annotation of a GenBank genome assembly.
GACCCAGUGGCGCACGGCGCGCACCUACCUUGCAUUCUCGGUUUUGAUCGAUGUACUUGCACGUGGGAGAACCUGGUUCGAUUCCAGGCUGGGUCC